Molecule: long non-coding RNA, 1233 nt
Filed under: Numida meleagris (helmeted guineafowl)
Lineage: Eukaryota; Metazoa; Chordata; Aves; Galliformes; Numididae
Description: lncRNA (ENSNMEG00000008219.1)
Source: RNAcentral
AUUUGCAGUCCAAUUUAAUAUGGCUGGAGGUAAAUACCACCUUUAUGAACUGCAGGUGGCCCAACCGGCUGCAUUGUGAUAGCUUCAGCUCCACAGGCUCCUUGGGGAAAGCAGAGAGAUUCUACAAGCUGCAAAGGACUGUGUAUGCUUAAGGAGACAACUGGUCAGCAAGAAGCUCUGGUUAGUAAGGAAGCUGUGCAUGUCUUACAGUGCACUUUUUUUUCAGCAAACCCUUCCCUAGACUUAGCAGCUGUCACUGAUACAGAGAUUUGGAAGUUUCCUGCACAUACAGGUGCUGCAAUUAAACUGCUCACAAAAGCCUGCUUGUCAGAUGGCAAACUGUUCCUAACGAAGGCAAAAAUGAAACAGAAGAAAAAUUUAAAGUCACAAGCUUUUCUUGGUUAUAAAAAUGCUUGUGUGUAUGUUGUCAAUUCAUCACUAUGAAGCUCAAGGAAGACACUCAAAAUUUGAAACGCCGAAAAACAGUGACCCCUCUGCUUGUUGGUAUGAGAAUAGGGAAAUAAGCAGGAAUGAAAGUCAAUGUCAUAUCAACUCUCUUAAGGUAUCAGCUUGUGUGCAUGCUCUUAUAAUGUGCAAGGAGCACACAGAAAUACUGCAGGGAAAUACCAGAAGACCAGUGGUCCUGCCGUUGGUGUUUGGCAUUACUUAAAGUUAGUAAUGGUAAUUAAACCUAUUUCUAGCUUGAAAACCAGCAAAGAAUAACUGAAACAUUACAAGUUCCUUGUUUGGAAACAGUUUAUACUUUGCAUAUGUGUCUAAUGAAGAGCUAUUUUGCAUUGAAAUACAGUGGCACAGACUUGGUUUAAGAAGAAAGUGUCACUUUUUUAAUAGUUGAUGUAUCACAAAAAAUUAUCUCUAAUGGAUAACACAUUUCUUGUAAUAUUGCUGUAUUUAUCUUGCUUUGGUAUGGGUAAAUCUCAGGAAGGUAGCAAUUCUGAGAGAAAAAAAUACAUGAACAUCAGAAAAUGAAAGCUGCAAUGUUGUGGUUUUUUUUUUUUUCCUAUGCAAAAUUGAGUAACAAGAUAUGGGUACACCAUACUUGCAAAAAAGUCUCUAAUGUGAAAAUUAAAUUAUACAUGAGUAACUCAUCCUUGUUAUAAUCACAAAACAGCAUACGUUAGAGGCAUUUCAGUUACAUUGCUACAGCUUGUCAAUGGUUCUGAGAACUCUCUUAAGAAUUUAGGGUAAGAAUAAAUAGAUAUCAUAUGAUCA